GGGGUUGUAGCUCACUGGUAGAGCACUUGCCUAGCAUGUAUGGGGCCCUGGGUUCGGUUCUCAGCACCA
This 69-nucleotide transfer RNA is filed under the name Ictidomys tridecemlineatus (thirteen-lined ground squirrel). RNAcentral's name for it is "Spermophilus tridecemlineatus (thirteen-lined ground squirrel) tRNA". It matches the Rfam family "tRNA". Rfam says of the family: Transfer RNA (tRNA) molecules are approximately 80 nucleotides in length. The record is from Rfam by way of RNAcentral. Lineage: Eukaryota; Metazoa; Chordata; Mammalia; Rodentia; Sciuridae.